Macadamia integrifolia is the source of this 2857-nucleotide long non-coding RNA. RefSeq lists it as uncharacterized. NCBI's taxonomy places the organism in Eukaryota, Viridiplantae, Streptophyta, Magnoliopsida, Proteales, Proteaceae. The record is from RefSeq and is a predicted model, not a curated record. The transcript has 5 exons.
CUAUUUUUCAACUCUGAACCUACAACUACUAGGUCACCUUACCAUUACUCUUAAGGCCUUCCCUCUCAAAUGGUAUUACAAGUUGGCCAAAAUUUAGAUCAUAGGCGCUCCCAUUGUUUGGAUGUUAAAAUAAAGCUAUCUAAGAUGGGUAUGCCUCAAAGAUUUCUAAAGUUUCAUGCCCAAGUCCAGUCCACAAAUGAUUUUAUAAGCCCAGCAGAUCUAAGCAACAAGCUCUUGUUUAAUUUUCAGCAAAAAAAAAAAAAGAAAAAGAAAGAAAGAAAAAGUCUUGUUUAGGACUUGCGCUUCAGAAUUCUCCUGAAAAUUGUAACACAGCCAAUCUCAUCCAGUAGUCGUUUGGAGCUUUUCAUAUUCAAAUUACAAUUUAAAUGAAGCAGAUCAUAAUUCCUCACGGCUUCCAAAAAUUAACCCCUCGUUUCCCUGCAUCUCUCUUUGUAAUCGCAACUGCGUGAAAAAAUUAUGGUUAGCAGCAGUGGCCCAGGUCGCCAUCAAGGAGAAAAUGAAGCCCUUUGCUCAAUCCUCUUUUCCAGUCCCCAGUUAAGGAUCCGAAAGCCACUUACAAGUCACAAUUGUUGGGCUUAUCACGUAUUGCUAUUACACGCUACUGCUGCACAUCAUGUGUUUGAUUCAUGAUCUCACAGCAUUUGGCUGGCAAACCGAUUUAUUUUCCUAUUGUUUCAUUGGGAAUCGACUGGGUCGUGGCUAUUAUCAUCAGGUUUCAAGUAUUUUGGGGGAUUAAAUUAGGCACUGGAUGAUUAAAUCAGGCACUGGAUGAAUAGGCAGGACUUAUGGAGUUGCUAUGGACUGCUUGAAAAAGGCCUCAGUUUGUGAAGUGAAAUCAAAAGUUUCUUUUGGCUCUUGGUGAAUGCUAUGGGCUGACACUUGCCACUUGAGAGAUGGUGAGCAUUGUCAACAUGUGGAGCUGUUUUAGGCUGCGUACUAAGUGUUGAAGGUCUCUGGUCAUGUAAAUCUCUUCAUGUGGUGUCUCACUAGCACAGACCAAUUCCCAGAUGCAUUACCAUAGUAAUUGCGUCUUGUUUCUUUAUGUUACAACUAGGAAAUGCUUUGAGGAAAUAGUUUUAUUUUGGAUAUUUAUUUAAAGUGUUUUCAUUGCAGGUUCCAAUUGGUCUUGAGGUUCCCUUUGAUCUCUUGGAGGUUAUGUACCAUCAGGUGAGGAUUAUACGUAGUUUUGUAGUACUGUCCUUGGGGCCCUAUUAAAAAUGGAUAUAUUACAAAAUUUGGAUGCUUGAAUAAUAACUUGUUUUUAAUAAUUAUUCUUUGUUACUUGUCAAGAUCUAAGCCCUCAUAUCUGCUUUUCUUAUGCUUAUUAGAAAUUAUUUUCUUGGUGGUCACUUGUCAAGAAACUUUCUUUCUGUGGGGCCUGAUAAUUAGUAGGUAUUAUUUCUAAACCAAUGGUUGUAGAUUACCACUGGGAAAGAGACAUUAGUGAUCAUGAUUAAGAGGACCUAGGAAACAAAAGCCCAUUCUUUUCCUUCUGUGUGGGUCAAAUCAAUGAUGAUAAACCUUUUUUCCUUUAGCAACUAGUAGCAACUUGCAAUUAUUUCCCAAAAUUUCUCCAGGACACUACUACUUUGGACAUCAUAUGGUUUCCAAUUUAGUUAAUAUCCAGCUAGCUUAUUGCGACAGAUGUGACUUGCAUGAUUAAACUUCUAAUUCCAAUAACAUCUGCUUUCCACCUUUAUUGCACUGGAUUAUUCUCUUUACAAGUAACAUGGCUGUAAAUGGAGAUCCUGUGAUUGUGGUAAAACUCAAAGCCUUUCAGAAGAGCAUCAAUUACCUUCCCUCACAUGUCUUACCUUGUACUUAUGUUUGGUGUCCAUGUUAAUAGUCUAUGUUUUUUUGUUAGGUAACAGAUUAAAUAUAUUGAUAAUCGGAAUACAUAUAAUAGCUAUGAUACAACAAGAGCAAAGGCCAUAGAGGCAACUUGCAAAGGGAUCAAACAGGAGAAUAGGGACACAUUCAAAGUUUUCCUCAAGAGAGCAGCUGAAGCUAAUUCAUUGACCAUAUAAUGAGGUGAUGAACACAUUAUAUGUGACAGCACAAAGUUUGCACAUGCACAAAGAAACCUGGAUUUUCUAAUGAGGUGUGGAUUAGGACUAUACCUUCCCAGACAAGGACUCACCAAUCACUAACAUCGAGUCUCCUUUAAUCGGAAUGUCUUUCAUAUUAUUUGAGAUGGUUCCAAGCCUAAUUUAAUUGCCGUCAAUUCUGCUGUGAUGGAAUUACAAUAGACUAUUCUUAUAUAGUUUUCAUUAGUUUAUAUAAUGUUUUAUAAAUGGAACUAUUCAUUGAGCUGCCUCAUUUACAGAAACAUUAUCAAUUUUCGUUUAGUUUUGCUUUCUGUGUGAAUAACGCAAAUUUGACAUUGGAAAAGUAGGAUUAAUUAGUAGACCAUAGAUUUUGAGGUGUCUAAACAUCACUACUAUGCUAGAAUUUGCACAGGUGAUAUUGGUCAUUAUAACUUGAACUAGACUAAUGAAUGAACCUCGUCAAUGGAUGUGUAGAAUGCUUCAUAUGUGACAUUUUUCCUUGGUAAAGCUCUUAGAAGUGGACACUUUUAACAUUCUGAGGAGACUAAUAAUAUUUCUUCCUGGCUUGUGUCUCCAUAGUUACUGUCUAAUACUUGUUUAAUACAUGCUGAUCUUCUAGUGAAUGUAGUCUUCUGUUUCCUGUAAUAUUGAUUGGGACUUUUGUAGUUCUGUUUACAUGAGAAAUUGAAAUAGGUGGGUGGGUGCAAAUUUGGGCUAUUUAUUGUUUUGUAAUUAUCUUGCACAAUUUUGAGACCUAGUUUACAAUGUGACAGUUCUCUUUCCGCUUA